UGGAUACUCCACACCACUUAGGGGAUGGCUUGGUUCAAGACGCCGAUGAAGGGCGUGACAAGCUGCGAAAAUCUUGGGCGAGGCGCAUGUAUCCCUAGAACCCAAGGUUCCUGAAUGAGAUUCUCUUGCAGGUAAAACCUGCAAAUUCGCAUUAGCGAAAGGGAACGCGGGGAAUUGAAGCAUCUUAUUACCCGCAGGAAAAGAAAUCAAUUGAGAUGUCGUUAUUAAAGGCGAUCGAACACGACAUAGGGCAAACUGAACGCCUGUAAGAAAUUACAGGUGAAUGUAGUGUAUGUCUUUUAUGUCCUAACCGGUGAAGUUGAAGUCCCCUGGAAAGGGGCACCGUAGAGGGUGAUAGUCCCGUAAACGUAAGCCGAAGGAUAUUGACAUACGAAGAGUAGCGUGCGUUGGAUAUCGCGCGUGAAGAUAGGAGGCAUCGACUUCUAACCCUAAAUACGUUUUGAAACCGAUAGUGUACUAGUACCGUGAGGGAAAGCUGAAAAGUACCCCUAGCAGGGGGUGAAAAGAGUCUGAAACUAAGUGGUUAUAGCCCGAUACGGCUUGAAAGGAUAGAGUCUCCCUGAAGGAAACCUCUGUGAGGAGGCAGUACGAAGGGAGAGGACCAGAGUCGUAUCAUCCGUUUUGAAGAACGGGGCGGGGAGUUUACGGUUAUGGCAAGGUUAAGGGGUUGAAACCCCGAAGCCGCAGUGAAAGCAACAGGUCUGCAACUUUUGUUAGAGACGGGAUGUUAAAAGCAUCUGGAGUCAUAGCCGUAAGAUCCGAAACCAGUCGAUCUAUCCCUGGACAGGGUGAAGUCGCGGGAAACCGCGGUGGAGGCCCGCUUCCGGUGUUGAUAUGCAAAUCACUCGGGUGAUCUAGGGAUAGGUGUGAAAGGCUAAUCAAGACUGGUGUCAGCUGAUUCCUCUCGAAAUGUCUCGCAGGACAGCCUGGCUGGAGAUAGAUGGCAGUGUAGAGCACUGAUUGAGUGUUUAGGCCCCGAAAGGGGUCGGCAUUCUGUCAAACUCCGAAUUUGCUAUCGUCGUAGAAGGCCAGAGUGAGGGUCAUGGGGGUAAGCUCCAUGUCCGAAAGGGGAAUAUCCCAGCCUGGGGUUAAGGUCCGCAAAUGCCAGCUAAGUAUUAAAUAAGAAAGGAGUUCUCGACCCCAAACAGUGGGAAGGUAGGCUUAGAAGCAGCCACCCUUUAAAGAGUUCGUAACAGAUCACCCACCGAGGUCGAGGGCCCUGAAAAUCGACAGGGUUAAGUUGGCUACCGAUACCCCAGAAAUCCGCAAGGAUAGUUAGUAGAGAGGCGUUCUGCUUGGGUCGAAGGAAGGCAGUAAUGUCUUCUGGACCGGGCAGGAUUGAGAAUCCCGCUAGUAGUAGCAGCAAAGAACAGUGAGAUUCUGUUCCGCCGAAGGGGCAAGGUUUCCUCAGCAAUGAUCUUCAGCUGAGGGUUAGUCGGUCCUAAGGGUAUUCGUAAUUCGACAUACUCGAAAGGGAAACAGGUUAAAAUUCCUGUACCACAGAGGUACGUGCGGUGACGCAAGUUCAUUUUUGACACCUCGAGGUAGGUCAAGUUGGAUAGCCUUCCAAUCUAAGCGUUGAAAUCUGGGGAGAAUCGUAAUGAUGAGAACCAGACGAAGGCGUGAAUGGGUUUCCGUAUGGAGACUUUGGCCGAUCCAUGGGGUCCGUGAAAAGAAAAUGAAAAGGAUCCUCUGUGUCCGUACUUAGAACCGACACUGGUGCCCCUAGGUUAGAAACCUAAGGCGUUUCGGAGCAAUUCAGUCAAGGGAACUCGGCAAAUUGGCCCUGUAUCUUCGGUAUAAAGGGUGCCAGCUCUGUGAAGAGCUGGUCUCAGUAUCAAGGGGGGUCCGACUGUUUAAUAAAAACAUAGGUAACUGCAAGCCCGUAAGGGUGUGUACAGUUGCUAACUCCUGCCCAGUGCCGGUAAGUUAAACCCCGGUUCAACGGGACUAAGCUCCGGUAAACGGCGGGGGUAACUAUAACCCUCUUAAGGUAGCGUAAUACCUUGUCGCUUAAUUGGCGACUUGCACGAAUGGAUGAACGAGACCCCCACUGUCCCUGACUGAAAUCCGGUGAACCUGUUGUGCUGGUGUACAGACCAGCGACUUCCAACGGGUAAAGAAGACCCCGUGGAGCUUUACUGCAGCUUGUCGCUGUGAUAAGGUUGUGAAUGUAGAGCGUAGGUAGGAGCUGUUAAUGCUUGGCCGCCAGGUCAAGUGGAGGCGACCCUGGAACACUACCCAUUUGCUGCUUUGUCACUUACUGCGUUUCGCAGGACACCGAUAGGUGGGCAGUUUGGCUGGGGCGGCACCCCCCUAAAAAAAUAUCAGGGGGGCUCCAUGGUUGGCUCAACCGGGUCAGAAAUCCGGUGUAGAGUGUAAGGGUAAAAGCCAGCCUUAUUGGAAUUCGCACAGAGAGAAUUCCAAUCGCGAAAGCGUGACCUAACGAACCUCCUUGUCCUCAUCGAUGGGGGCAGGAGAUGACAGAAAAGCUACCUCGGGGAUAACUGAGUUGUCGCGAGCAAGAGCUCAUAUCGACCUCGCGGCUUGCUACUUCGAUGUCGGCUCUUUCCAUCCUGGGUGUGCAGCAGCACCCAAGGGUGGGGUUGUUCGCCCAUUAAAGGGGAUCGUGAGCUGGCCGUCGUGAGACAGGUUAGUUUUUAACUGUUGGAAGUGUAGGUUGCCUGAAGGAAAGGACCAUCUAGUACGAGAGGAACGGUGGUUCGUGGCCUCUGGUCGAUCAGUUGUCUGGCAAGGCAUGCUGAGCAGCUACGCCAUACGUGGAUAAGAGCUGAAAGCAUCUAAGCACGAAACCACUCCUGAAAAUAGGCAACCAUUUCUUUCCGCCAACCAUUUUUUCUUGCAUCACUUUUUCUUUUUGAAAGAGUGUUGUAGGAGAAAAUGGGGAUACACGGGGCUGGCGACGGCAACGUGGGAAAGAACAAGGACACGGGUAAAAGACCCGAUUGAUAGAAC
This 2997-nucleotide ribosomal RNA is filed under the name Methanobacteriota archaeon. Its description in RNAcentral is "bacterial LSU rRNA". It matches the Rfam family "Archaeal large subunit ribosomal RNA". Lineage: Archaea; Methanobacteriati; Methanobacteriota. The record is from RNAcentral.